This 74-nucleotide transfer RNA is filed under the name Pteropus alecto (black flying fox). It matches the Rfam family "tRNA". From Rfam's summary of the family: Transfer RNA (tRNA) molecules are approximately 80 nucleotides in length. Their secondary structure includes four short double-helical elements and three loops (D, anti-codon, and T loops). Lineage: Eukaryota; Metazoa; Chordata; Mammalia; Chiroptera; Pteropodidae. The record is from Rfam by way of RNAcentral.
GGCUCCAUAGUGUGGUGGUUAGCACGUCUGCUUUACAUGCAGAAGGUGCCCUGAACAAUACAGGGGUGGCUCCA